GACGAACGCUGGCGGCGUGCUUAACACAUGCAAGUCGAACGGAAAGGCCCUGCUUUUGUGGGGUGCUCGAGUGGCGAACGGGUGAGUAACACGUGAGUAACCUGCCCUUGACUUUGGGAUAACUUCAGGAAACUGGGGCUAAUACCGGAUAGGAGCUCCUGCUGCAUGGUGGGGGUUGGAAAGUUUCGGCGGUUGGGGAUGGACUCGCGGCUUAUCAGCUUGUUGGUGGGGUAGUGGCUUACCAAGGCUUUGACGGGUAGCCGGCCUGAGAGGGUGACCGGCCCCCUUGGGACUGGGGUACGGCCCCGACUCCUACGGGAGGCAGCAGUGGGGAAUAUUGCACAAUGGGCGGAAGCCUGAUGCAGCAACGCCGCGUGCGGGAUGACGGCCUUCGGGUUGUAAACCGCUUUCGCCUGUGACGAAGCGUGAGUGACGGUAAUGGGUAAAGAAGCACCGGCUAACUACGUG
This 468-nucleotide ribosomal RNA is filed under the name uncultured bacterium. Its description in RNAcentral is "partial 16S ribosomal RNA". It matches the Rfam family "Bacterial small subunit ribosomal RNA", at positions 28 to 507 of the family's 1533-position model. The record is from RNAcentral.